GAGGCCAAGGUGGGUGGAUUACUUGAGGUCAGGAGUUCGAGACCAGCCUGGCCAACAUGGUGAAACCCCUUCUCUACUAAAAACACAAAAAUUAGCUGGACAUGAUGGCAUGUGCCUGUAAUCCCAGCUACUCGAGGUGGAAGCAGGAGAAUCACUUGAACCGGGAGGCAGAGGUUGCAGUGAGCCGAGAUUGUGCCACUGUACUCCAGCCUGGAUGAAAGAAAGAGUCAAAAAAAAAAGUUACUGUGGCUUCCUUCUUGCAGUCUUUCUUGGGUCACUCACCCUAGGAGAGACUGGCUGCCAUUUGAAAGGUCAGUCAACCUGCCUUAUGAAAAAAUUCAUAUGGGAAGAAGCAGCUUCUCCGCUCCUUCUGGAAUCUCUCCCUAGUUCAGCCCUCCUGCCUCCACUCCUGCCUCCAUCAUGUCCAUCAGGGUGACCCAGAAGUCCUACAAGGUGUCCACCUCUGGCCCCGGGGCCUUCAGCAGCUGCUGCUUCACGAGUGGGCCCAGUGCCCGCUUGAGCUUCUCCCGAGUGAGCAGUAGUGGCUUCCGGGGUGGCCUGGGUGCAGGCUAUUCUGGGGCCAGCGGCAUAGGCAUGGGAGGCAUCACCGCCGUCACCAUCAACCAGAACCUGCUGAACCCCAUUAAGGUGGAUGUGGACCCCAACAUCCAGGCCGUGCGUACCCAGGAGAAGGAGCAGAUCAAGACCCUCAACAACAAGUUUGCUUCCUUCAUCGACAAGGUGCGGUUCCUGGAGCAGCAGAACAAGAUGCUGGAGACCAAGUGGAGCCUCCUGCAGCAGCAGAAAACGGCUAGGAGCAACAUAGACAACAUGUGUGAGAACUACAUCAACAACCUGAGGCGGCAGCUGGAGACUCUGGGCCAGGAGAAGCUGAAGCUGGAGGCGGAGCUUGGCAACAUGCAGGGGCUGGUGGAGGACUUCAAGAACAAGUAUGAGGAAGAGAUCAAUAAGCGUACAGAGAUGGAGAAUGAAUUUGUCCUCAUGAGGAAGGAUGUGGAUGAAGCUGACAUGAACAAGGUAGAGCUGGAGUCUUGCCUGGAAGGACUGACUGACGAGAUCAACUUCCUCAGGCAGCUGUAUGAAGAGGAGAUCCAGGAGCUGCAGUCCCAGAUCUCUGACACGUCUGUGGUGCUGUCCAUGGACAACAGCCGCUCUCUGGACAUGGACAGCAUCAUUGCCGAGGUCAGCAUCAUUGCAGUACGAGGAGAUCGCCAACCGCAGCCGGGCUGAGGCAGACAGCAUAUACCAGAUCAAGUAUGAGGAGUUGCAGACGCUGGCUGGGAAGCACAGGGAUGACCUGUGGCAUACAAAGACUGAGAUCUCCGAGAUGAACCAGAACAUCAGCCGGCUCCAGGCUGAGAUUGAGGGCCUCAAAGGCCAGAGGGCUUCCCUGGAGGCUGCCAUUAGAGAUGCUGAGCAUCGCGGGGAGCAGGCACUCAAGGAUGCUCAUACCAAGCAGCAGGAGCUGGAAUCUGCCCUGCAGCGGUCCAAGCAGGACAUGGCAAAGCAGCUGCGUGAGUUCCAGGAGCUGAUGAAAGUCAAACUGGCCCUGGACAUCGAGAUCGCCACCUACCGCAAGCUACUGGAGGGCGAGGAGAGCCAGCUGGAGUCCGGGAUGCAGAACAUGAGUAUCCACACGAAGACCACCAGCGGCUAUGCAGGUGAUCUGAGCUCUGCCUAUGGGGGCCUCACAAGCCCCGGCCUCAGCUACGGCCUGGGCUCCAGCUUUGGCUCUGGCGCGGGCUCCAGCUCCUUCAGCCACACCAGCUCCACCAAGGCUGUGGUUGUGAAGAAGAUCGAGACUCGCGAUGGGAGGCUGGUGUCUGAGUCCUCUGACGUCCUGCCCAAGUGAACAGCUGCAACAGCCCCUCCCAGCCUGCCCCUCCUGAGGCUGCCCCAGAGCCCAGGAGGGAGGUUGCUGUGCAGGGGAACGCAGGGAACAGGAGACCCACCUGACGCUCAGCCCUAGCCCUCAGCCCACCAGCGGGGAGUUUACUGCCUGGGGACCCCCCUUGUCCAUGCCUCCAGCUACAAAACAAUUCAAUUGCUUUUUUUUUUUUGGUCCAAAAUAAAAUCUCAGCUAGCUC
Non-coding RNA from Callithrix jacchus (white-tufted-ear marmoset), 2108 nucleotides. The record is from RefSeq and is a predicted model, not a curated record. NCBI's taxonomy places the organism in Eukaryota, Metazoa, Chordata, Mammalia, Primates, Cebidae.